RNAcentral lists this transfer RNA (75 nucleotides) under Promethearchaeota archaeon. RNAcentral's name for it is "Candidatus Lokiarchaeota archaeon (marine sediment metagenome) tRNA-Tyr". It matches the Rfam family "tRNA". From Rfam's summary of the family: Transfer RNA (tRNA) molecules are approximately 80 nucleotides in length. RNAcentral also lists the same sequence under 1 other name. The record is from RNAcentral. Lineage: Archaea; Promethearchaeati; Promethearchaeota.
CCCCUGGUAGCUUAGCGGUAGAGCAUCGGGCUGUAGACCCGGGGAUCGCUGGUUCGAAUCCGGCCCAGGGGACCA